GACGAACGCUGGCGGCGUGCUUUAGGCAUGCAAGUCGAACGCGAAAGCCCCUUCGGGGGUGAGUAGAGUGGCGAACGGGUGAGUAACACGUGGGUAACCUGCCCCUCGCAGGGGGAUAACCGGGGGAAACCCCGGCUAAUACCCCGUACGCUUGCUGGGGCGCAUGCUCCGGCAAGGAAAGGUAGCUUCGGCCAUCCGGCGAGGGAGGGGCCCGCGGCCCAUUAGCUAGUUGGUGGGGUAACGGCCCACCAAGGCGACGAUGGGUAGCUGGCCUGAGAGGGUGGUCAGCCAAACUGGGACGGGGACACGGCCCAGACUCCUACGGGAGGCAGCAGCCAGGAAUCUUGCGCAAUGGGCGAAAGCCUGACGCAGCAACGCCGCGUGGGCGAUGAAGGCCUUCGGGUCGUAAAGCCCUGUUGUCGGGGACGAAGGGCGAAGGGUUAAUAGCCCCUAGCCUGACGGUACCCGACGAGGAAGCCCCGGCUAACUACGUG
This 494-nucleotide ribosomal RNA is filed under the name uncultured bacterium. RNAcentral's name for it is "partial 16S ribosomal RNA". It matches the Rfam family "Bacterial small subunit ribosomal RNA", at positions 28 to 507 of the family's 1533-position model. The record is from RNAcentral.